GAAAUUUAACGGAUUUGGCGGCAAGAUAGCCAUUUAGAGGAACCUGCCCUAUAAUCGAUGAACCACGAAUUACCCUACUUUUUCUUGAAUUCAGUUUGUAUACCGCUGUUGUCAGUUAGUUUCAUCAGAAAACUUUCAUAAAUGAAAAAUUCAACGACUUCAAGUAAAGGUGCAGCUUAUGAAAAAGAUAGAGGUGGGUUACAUUUAUAAGAAUAAAACGGAUAAAGUUUUUGAAAUUAACUUUUGAAGGUGGAUUUAAUUGUAAAGUUUUAUUAAACUUGAUGAGAGCUCUGUCUUGUGUACACACCGCCCGUCGC
Molecule: ribosomal RNA, 317 nt
Filed under: Balanus trigonus
Lineage: Eukaryota; Metazoa; Arthropoda; Thecostraca; Balanomorpha; Balanidae
Description: partial 12S ribosomal RNA
Rfam family: Microsporidia small subunit ribosomal RNA
Source: RNAcentral